This 364-nucleotide ribosomal RNA is filed under the name uncultured bacterium. RNAcentral describes it as "bacterial SSU rRNA". It matches the Rfam family "Bacterial small subunit ribosomal RNA", at positions 509 to 873 of the family's 1533-position model. The record is from RNAcentral.
CAGCAGCCGCGGUAAUACGUAGGGGACAGAGCGUUGUCCGGAAUUACUGGGCGUAAAGGGCGCGCAGGCUGUGCUGCAAGUCAGCUGUUAAAUGUCUGGGCUUAACCCGGGCAUGCGGUUGAGACUGCAGUGCUGGAGUGCUGUAGAGGCAAGUGGAAUUCCCAGUGUAGCGGUGAAAUGCGUAGAUAUUGGGAAGAACACCGGUGGCGAAGGCGACUUGCUGGGCAGCAACUGACGCUGAGGCGCGAAAGCCAGGGGAGCAAACGGGAUUAGAUACCCCGGUAGUCCUGGCCGUAAACGAUGAAUGCUAGGUGUGGGUGUAGAGAUACAUUCGUGCCGGAGUUAACGCAAUAAGUAUCCCGCC